Molecule: long non-coding RNA, 2094 nt
Organism: Perca flavescens (yellow perch)
Lineage: Eukaryota; Metazoa; Chordata; Actinopteri; Perciformes; Percidae
Exons: 5
Source: RefSeq, a predicted model, not a curated record
UACAUCAUCAUCAGCAGCAGCAGCAGUAGAGAAUAUAAUCCACGGAGGUUUUAUAUCGAUAUGUACGGCGUUUUAAUCACUGUUCUGUUGUCUAAGAAGCUGGUGAACUUAUCAAAAGAUCCAACUUCUUUCCAGGAAAGAUUACGGUGUCUUUAGGGAAGGCUCCAUCAGGUAAAUACCUGACAUACAAUAAAUGUUACCAUUACAGUCAUCUCGUGGCGACGGAGAGGAGGAUGCUUAAUCUCUCUCCAUCUAAAUUUGACACUGAACUAAGUAGGUGGAUAUAGUUUAAUAACCAGAGUAUUUUUUAAACUUUUACUCCUACUGUUCAUGAUAAUAGUCUAAUGUCAGCUGUGCUUUCAGGGCCAGCAGCAGCAGUCUAAAGAGCCCCGGCUGUGUCUCCACCAACAGGUUUUUUUUUCUCAGGCUGUCAUUCAAGGAUUUGGCAUUUUAAAUUUCUAUAUUCAAUAGGCACAAUAAACCACAUCUUUGAUUGUGUGCUUACUAUAUAUUCAUAUUGUUUUUGUGCUUUACCUGUUUUCUUAAAAGCAUUGUUUUUUUCAUGACAAAUAAAUAGUGAUUCAUAAUUUAAGGAAAUAUGGUGUUUUCAGUCUGUAUUCACAGUUUGUUAGAGAGAAAACGUAUAAAGACACAUUGUGAAGAAUAAACUAACUUGACUGUGUGAGGAAAAUUACUCUGAAUUGUUUUUACAGCACACAGGACGGAGCCAACAGCGACGGUUUCCAGACCUGCCGAGCCUGAUGACUCCUCUGGGAUUGUUGCUUCUGUGAAAGCCAGGCUGAAGGCCCCGCUGCCAGCCCCUUCUACCUCCUCAGCUCAGAUGAUAUGUGGACUUCAGCAUGUGGAGCCAGGCUGUCGUCAUGUUGUGUUAAAUUGUGACAAGCACAGGGUACAGCCCAACAUCCCAGCUGUUGUAGCUAUGGAGACCGAGGAUCACUGCCCUGCUGCUUUGGUGGCCACAGACUCUCAGGAGACCAGUGAAGAUCCGGUUGGAGUGGUGCUGAUCACACAGCUGGAGUGGUCUUUCAGCAGGGCUCCGGUCCCAGCGGUCCCAGCACACAGCUGCUACGAGGGGCAGUCUUUCAUGAAUACAGGUCAUUCAAAUGACCUACCUACCAUCCUCCUACAGACCAGGAGGAGUCUCUGAGCUGGUCUACAGUGGAGCGGAUUGGGUCAGACAUCCUGGUUAAACAACAAUAACCUCAUCAUCAUCAUCAUCAUCAUUAUCAUUAUCAAGCAGCAGCAGCAGAAAAAGAUGACCAGGAACUGUUUAGCCUACAGUCAGCUGAAGUCGUAGAUGGAGUCAGAGGAGAGGGCGAACAGGAAGUCAGCAGUGCAGCUUCCAACAGGUCGCCUGUGCAGGUUCUGUCAUCAACCCCUAAAGCAGGGCCCUGGCAGCCCUCAAGUACAUGACAGCUUCCCCGGGGUACCAGGGAAAUACAUCUACUGCCCCUCCAGAGUGUUCUCCCCCUACAAGGCACAGGGCAUGGGGAAGGAGAUGACCUGGGGGGAGUUCAAACUGUCGGACUUCUAUGAGGCUGAGAGACACAAAGAUUCAAAGAGAAGACAGACAAAUGGACUGCUAACCCACCAGACGACAAAUAUAUCCUCUCACACGUACACACACGCACACACUCACGCACACAAGACACACCACUGUGCAUUGUCAGGACUGUUUCUUCUGUUUUCAUAGCCAAGCAAUUGUGAUCUUUAGUUUAAUUUAACUGUAUUCACCUUCACUGGACGUCUGGUCUGAUUCUUCAUCAUCAUCAUCAUCAUCAUCCUCACAUAGUCUCUCAGCACCUUUACAUGCACUCUAGUGUUCCCUCUACGUAUGUAAAUGUGUAAUAUUUUAAUAAUAAAUUAUUCCGUAAAUGUAUACCCAUAUUUAGUUGUUAAUUUGUUUUAUAUAUAACAUUUGAAUUAUAUAAAUAAGCAAUGUGUCAAUUUUUAUUUUGUGUUUAAGAAUGAUGUUGUUCUUUAUGAAAUAUCUUGGGAGCAUUACUAUGACUGUCAUUUGAUUGAGGAAGUAAAAGUGAUAGAAAAUGAAAUAAAAUUAUACGUAUAAAUAUA